RNAcentral lists this ribosomal RNA (428 nucleotides) under uncultured bacterium. RNAcentral's name for it is "bacterial SSU rRNA". It matches the Rfam family "Bacterial small subunit ribosomal RNA", at positions 354 to 796 of the family's 1533-position model. The record is from RNAcentral.
GUGGGGAAUUUUGGGCAAUGGGCGAAAGCCUGACCCAGCAACGCCGCGUGGAGGACGAAGACUUUCGGGUCGUAAACUCCUGUCCGAAGGGACGAAGACAGUGACGGUACCUUUGGAGGAAGCCCCGGCUAACUCCGUGCCAGCAGCCGCGGUAAUACGGGGGGGGCAAGCGUUGUUCGGAAUUACUGGGCGUAAAGGGCGCGUAGGCGGUUUCGGCAGUCAUGGGUGAAAGCCCUCGGCUCAACCGGGGAAUGGCCUGUGAAACCACGGAACUGGAGUGCUGGAGAGGGAAGCGGAAUUCCCAGUGUAGCGGUGAAAUGCGUAGAUAUUGGGAGGAACACCGGAGGCGAAGGCGGCUUCCUGGACAGACACUGACGCUGAGGCGCGAAAGCCAGGGGAGCAAACGGGAUUAGAAACCCUAGUAGUCC